GGUCCUAACCUUAUUAUCAGCUUUUUUUUAACCUACACAUGCAAGUCUCCGCACACCCGUGAAAACGCCCUUUAAACCUUGCCCAGGUAAAGGAGCCGGCAUCAGGCGCAAUUCCUGCCCACAACGCCUAGUCCCGCCACACCCCCAAGGGUAAUCAGCAGUGAUAAACAUUGUCCAUAAGCGACAGCUUGACCCAGUUAAAAACAAUAGGGCCGGCCAACACGGUGCCAGCCGCCGCGGCUACACCGCUGGGCUCAAGUUGAUAACUUUCGGCGUUAAGCGUGAUUAAAGUAUCCCAACAAUAAAGUUAAAUAUAGACUUAGCCGUAAUAAGCUUGUCAUUUGGAAACCCAUAAACGAAAGUUACUCUAUUUUUACUUGAACCCACGACAGUUAAGAAACAAACUGGGAUUAGAUACCCCACUAUGCCUAACCGUAAAAAAUUAAUUUACACCCCCAACGCCCGGGAAUUACGAGCCCAAACUUAAAACCCAAAGGACUUGACGGUGUCCCACCCACCUAGAGGAGCCUGUCCCAUAAUCGAUACCCCCCGCUAUACCUCGCCAUUUUUUGCCUACAGUCUGUAUACCUCCGUCGUAAGCCUACCAUGUGAAUGACUGAGUAAGCUAAGCGGCCCCCGCCAACACGUCAGGUCAAGGUGCAACUUAUGAAAUGGUAGACGAUGGGCUACAAUCUCUAAUUUAGAAUAAACGAAAAACUGUAUGAAACACAGUAUGAAGGUGGAUUUAGUAGUAAAAAGAAAAUAGUAUAUUCUUUUUAACUAGGCACUGGGACGUGUACACACCGCCCGUCACCCUCUUCAACAGCUUCCUUUACGUUAAUAACCCAAUAUUGCGCCCUAGAAGAGGCAAGUCGUAACAUGGUAAGUGUACUGGAAAGUGCACUUGGAUUACAAACUAUAGCUUAAAUAAAGCAUCUCGCUUACACCGAGAAGAUAUCUGCUAACCCGGGUUAUUUUGAGCCUAAAAUCUAGCCCACACAAACCUCAUGUAUCACCCACCAAAUACCAUAAAAACAAAACAUUUUAACUUACUAGUAAAGGUGAUUGAAAGAUUUCUAGGAGCCCCAGACUUAGUACCGCAAGGGAACAAUGAAAUAAAACUGAAACAAAUUUUAAGCCUCAAAAAGCAAAGAUUAAACCCUGUACCUUUUGCAUCAUGGUCUAGCUAGUCAAACCAAGCAAAACGAAACUUUUAGUUCGACCCCCCGAAACUAGACGAGCUACUUCAAAAUAGCCAUUAGGGCUAACCCGUCUCUGUUGCAAAAGAGUGGGAUAAUUUUUAAGUAGAGGUGACAAACCUACCGCGCCUAGAGAUAGCUGGUUAUUCAGGAAAAGAAUUUUAGUUCUGCCUUAAGCCCACAUGUACCUAAAACAAGCUUAAGAGUUAUUCAAAUAAGGCACAGCUUAUUUGAAGAAGGAUACAACCUAAAAAUCAGGGUAAAAUACUUGACUUAACAGAUAAGUGGGCCCAAAAGCAGCCACCUUUAAAAAAGCGUCAAAGCUUUCCUAUACAACAACUGAAUUCCUCCAACAACAUUCAACCCUUCACCACUACUGAAUAAUUUUAUACAAUAUAAAAGCCCUCCUGCUAGAACUAGUAAUAAGAAAUUGAAUUUCUCCAAAAUGUAAACUUAAGCCAACAUGAACAAAUCACUGGCAAUUAACGUAUAUGAACCAUUUAUAGUAACACACCAAGAAAAUUCUAUACAUAUUUACGUCACCCUAACACUAGAACAUUUCAGGAAAGAUUAAAAGAGGGAGAAGGAACUCGGCAAAUUUUAACCCCGCCUGUUUACCAAAAACAUCGCCUCUUGCCAAAUUAUAAGAGGUCCAGCCUGCCCAGUGACAAGAUUCAACGGCCGCGGUAUCCUAACCGUGCGAAGGUAGCAUAAUCACUUGUUCUUUAAAUAAGGACUAGUAUCAACGGCAUCACGAGGGUUACACUGUCUCCUCCCUUCAAUCAGUGAAACUGAUCUCCCCGUGAAGAAGCUGGGAUAUUAUUAUAAGACGAGAAGACCCCAUGGAGCUUUAAACUCAACAGCAUCUUCUUACACUAAGACCAAGAAAACUAAGGAAAAACUGCUUGUUAGUUUUAGGUUGGGGUGACCGCGGAGAAUAAUUAAACCUCCACAACGAAUGGGCACGCCCUUAUCCAAGAGCAACCACUCUAAGAAUCAACAAAUUGACGUACUAUGAUCCGACACUCGAUCAACGAACCAAGUUACCCUGGGGAUAACAGCGCAAUCCAUUUCAAGAGCCCCUAUCGACAAAUGGGUUUACGACCUCGAUGUUGGAUCAGGGUAUCCUAGUGGUGCAGCCGCUACUAAAGGUU
RNAcentral lists this non-coding RNA (2353 nucleotides) under Phrynobatrachus acutirostris (Rugegewald river frog). RNAcentral's name for it is "partial contains 12S ribosomal RNA, tRNA-Val, and 16S ribosomal RNA". The stretch from base 1 to 920 matches the Rfam family "Bacterial small subunit ribosomal RNA". Lineage: Eukaryota; Metazoa; Chordata; Amphibia; Anura; Phrynobatrachidae. The record is from RNAcentral.